Molecule: non-coding RNA, 786 nt
Organism: Meleagris gallopavo (turkey)
Lineage: Eukaryota; Metazoa; Chordata; Aves; Galliformes; Phasianidae
Source: RefSeq, a predicted model, not a curated record
GUUGACUGCCACGGAGGAGACAUCUCUGGUUAGAGUUUCCUUUCUUGUAGAGUUUUCCUUGUGAGCCUGGAUCUUCGGAAUCUGUUGUAAGAAGCUACUGCUGCAAAGAAGCCAUACUGGAGCAUGAGUUUCUUAAAUCUGAUCAUCUGCUCAGACCUGCGUAGAGAACCUGGACCAUUUUCGUGGCCUCCUCUGGACAUGCUCCACCACGUCCAUUUCUCUCCUGUACCGUUCCUGUACUGUUCAUCUCUCUGCGCUGCUGUUUGAAUUCUGUUGCUUUGGGGGAAAAAAAUCUUAUCUAUAAUUAAAAUGAAGCUUGAAAAAAUGAAAUCCAAAUGGCUUGUGGUGGAAAAUUUUUCAGAAUCUGAACACUUCCAAAUAAUAGAGAAUAUAUAUAUAGGUAGACUCAAGUAUUGUACAUCUUAUAAAUGCACUGUAAUAUAUUUACUCAAUUUGUUGUAGUUCUAGUACUUUAAAUAUUGCUGCUGCUGCUGCCUCUUCAUCUGUAUCAUCAAAAAAAGGUUGAAUACAGGUUAAAAGGAAACUAUUUGUCACUGCAUUAAAUAAACUGAGGUCUGUGAACUCAAAGUCCAAAAUGUUGCUGUAUUUUUUACAACAAGAAGGAUGAUGUUAAUAACUCUAAUCAUUCUACCAAAAUCUGCACAGUGCAAGCCUAUAAAAAACAGCUGAAAUAGUGAAAACAUAAAUUUAUACUUGAAUGUGGGACCAUUUGUUUUCCAGUUCUAAGUCAGAAGAUACAGAUUUGCAGGCUUACUUGAUCAAAUC